GAUGAACGCUAGCUACAGGCUUAACACAUGCAAGUCGAGGGGUAACGAGAGGAAAGCUUGCUUUCCUUGUCGACGACCGGCGCACGGGUGAGUAACGCGUAUCCAACCUGCCCCCAACUAAGGAAUAACCUUGCGAAAGUAAGACUAAUACCUUAUAAUUUCCUCAGAUGUCAUCUGACGAGGAAUAAAGAUUUAUCGGUUGUGGAUGGGGAUGCGUCUGAUUAGCUUGUUGGCGGGGUAACGGCCCACCAAGGCAACGAUCAGUAGGGGUUCUGAGAGGAAGGUCCCCCACAUUGGGACUGAGACACGGUCCAAACUCCUACGGGAGGCAGCAGUGAGGAAUAUUGGUCAAUGGGCGAAAGCCUGAACCAGCCAAGUAGCGUGCAGGAUGACGGCCCUAUGGGUUGUAAACUGCUUUUAUACAGGAAUAAAGUUAGCCACGUGUGGUUAUUUGAAGGUACUGUAUGAAUAAGGACCGGCUAAUUCCGUGCCAGCCGCCGCGGUAA
RNAcentral lists this ribosomal RNA (506 nucleotides) under uncultured bacterium. Its description in RNAcentral is "partial 16S ribosomal RNA". It matches the Rfam family "Bacterial small subunit ribosomal RNA", at positions 28 to 523 of the family's 1533-position model. The record is from RNAcentral.